RNAcentral lists this ribosomal RNA (502 nucleotides) under uncultured bacterium. Its description in RNAcentral is "bacterial SSU rRNA". It matches the Rfam family "Bacterial small subunit ribosomal RNA", at positions 12 to 518 of the family's 1533-position model. The record is from RNAcentral.
UUCGAUUCUGGCUCAGGAUGAACGCUGGCGGCGUGCUUAACACAUGCAAGUCGAACGGAGUUUUAACGGAAGUUUCGGAUGGAAGUUAAGAACUAGUGGCGGACGGGUGAGUAACGCGUGGGUAACCUGCCUCAUACAGGGGGAUAACAGUUAGAAAUGACUGCUAACACCGCAUAAUAUAGCGAAACCGCAUGAUUUUGCUAUCAAAUAUUUAUAGGUAUGAGAUGGGCCCGCGUCUGAUUAACUAGUUGGUGGGGUAAAAGCCUACCAAGGCGACGAUCAGUAGCCGGCUUGAGAGAGUGACCGGCCACAUUGGGACUGAGACACGGCCCAAACUCCUACGGGAGGCAGCAGUGGGGAAUAUUGGACAAUGGGGGAAACCCUGAUCCAGCGAACCGCCGCGUGAGUGAAGAGGUAUUUCGGUAUGUAAAGCUCUAUCAGCAGGGAAGAUAAUGACAGUACCUGACUAAGAAGCCCCGGCUAACUACGUGCCAGCAGCCGC